GCGGGGCGGGCAGCUCCAGGCAAGGCCCCCAGCCACCACAGCCUCGGGCAACGUGGCCUCAGCUCUCUGUCCAGCACCCCCUCCCGACCCCCACCGCGGGCCCAGCAGCCCUGGGAAGCCUCCCCAGACCCCAACAGGCCAAGGGCCCGUCCAGCCCUGUGGUCUGCCUGCGGGGCCACCACGCACGAGGCAAACGCUCUCCUCCAACCCUCAGCCUAACUGAGGCUCCCAGAGGCCUCCUUACGGCCACUGCCGCAGCGGGGGUACUUGUGCGUGCGUGGGAGGGACGUCUCAAGACCCAGAGAGAGCUCUGCAAACACAGACCAGCUCUGGGCCUGGCUCCUCCUGCCUGCGUCUUCCUGCUCCCACCCCAUAAAGGCCCUACCUCAGGUGCCCAGGGGCACCUCCUAUGUGGUUCUCAGGGACCGCCCACUACGAGGACGGUGCCUGCGCCCUCCCCACAGGCAGCCCCGAGCCCGGCCCUGGGGAGGGGCCCCGGGGGUCCUCCCGGCAGCAGGUGAAUCAGUGUGGAGACGGCCGGCGUGGGGCUGCCCCGCCUGCUUCCCAAGGUCUUGGCCUGACAGCUGCCCGUGGGUGCCCGGCUGCUUGGGGAACCUCGGGCCUGGGGCAGGGCCUGCUAGGGUGGCAGGGUGAGCUGGUAUCUCUUUCUCAAUCCUCUUCCUUCCCCAGAGCGGGCCCAGCUGCCGCUGACCACAGCGCUUCAGCAUCCUGCUCACAUUCUCAAGAGGACAGAUGGCUGUGGUCUAGGAGAGCUCGCGUUCUUCCUGGCAGAACUCCCCAGGCCAGUGCCAGGAACCUCAGGACGGCUGGGGAGCUCAGGGAGGGACUCCGUUCCUUGCUCCAAUUUUAUACAAGUGGACGCCAGGGCUAGUGGAACUGAGGCCCCAGGAGGGCCAGAACCGGGGUCUGCAGCCAUCCUGGGGCUCUCCCUCACCCUGCCCCCAGGUUGGGGACACCUCCUCUGCAGUGCAGCUUAGGGUCUGGAGCCAGAUGAGAUGGGGUCCAGGGUUUCCCACCCCCACCCCCAAGCAGCUCCCCUGUGAGGCCAGGAGCCGGCAGGGGAUGCCCCAGUCCUGGUGCACGCCAGGCAGCAAAGUGUUGGGCUGGGGUCCCUCAGAGUUGGGGGGAUUCCAGAGAAGUCAGGAGGUAGGGGUUAGGGGAGGACUUGUGGGAUAAGGGGCGCAUGGGGUGCAGGGCAGCACCCACAAGCUCCCAAGACAGGGCGGGGUACAUGGUGGUUACCCCUCCCACUGGAGACUGAGGCUCUCCCUGCAGGCGCUGUGGGCUCCGACAACAGCUGGGUGGGCCAGCAGGGAGGCCGUGGGGGCCGGGCAUGGACCGCGGGGGCCCUGGGCCCCUCUACCGCAUCCAGCUCACGGCACGGAUCCCGCCCAGCUUCUGACGGGAUGGCUGCCCUGCACUCCUAGCAGCUUCAAGCCUCUCAUCUUGUGUGGAGGGACGGGGGCACGGCCACUCCAUCUCUGCCCACGAGGGUCAAACCCGCCCGGGAAUCACGGACCUGCCGGCCGGGUCCCCGCCCCCAGCCUGGCAGCUGCCUGGCCAUCAGGGGACCCAGCAGCUCGGUGCCAGCUGCUUGCACCCCUGGGAAAAAGGUCUUCCUUUCCUGACUUCAAACAGGAGGGGAGGAAGCAGCUGGAGUGAGGGAGGAGGGGGCAGGGUGAGUCUCCAGGGUCACCUCCCUCCCCUGCACCUGUCCACGCAGGGCUCCCAGAUCUGGUGUUCUGGAUCCUUCUCCACCACUCUCCUACAGGGCCCCAUCUGGGUAGGAGGGGCGCACUGGCUGUCUAGGACUCAAAGACCAGGUCUCCCUGUGGCUCGUGGCUCAGGGGGGCUCAGCCUGACCCCAGCCUUGGUCCCAGUGUAUGUCUCCAGGGAGGAACAGCCACAGAAAAAGGAACGCCUUCCACUUAGGACGGGGGGCCCCUGAUCCCUCGCCUCAGUCUCCCCGUGUGAACCCCUGCGGGGACCUCCGCAUCCAGGCGGCUGGAGUGGUGACUGUGGAGGACACAGGAGCUGGAGCCCAGAGCCAGGGGCUGUGGUGGAAACGCAGAGGGGCCCCAGCAAGAUCCCCGCACCGCCGCCCGCUGUGAUGCGAUCGGGAGCUUCACCGCCCAGCGGCACAGGGCUCUCGGGGUGACGGAGCACCCGCGUCUCUGACACCCAGCAGGAGCUAAACACGCCCGGCCUGCAGCUGGCCGGGCUGCAGGCCUGCUCUACCAGGGACUUCCCUCCUCUGCGGCAGGCCCACAGGGGCAUUGCAGGGCACGGGCACUCAGGUGGGGCCCUGUCCUUCACCAGGAACAGACGGAGCACGGAAAAGCAGACAGGGAGCACGGUGACCAGUGCACAGGCUGAGCGUCUCACUUAACUUCCCCGAGGACUCCCGGAGUCAGAACCGCUUUCCCUCUGUUUCCCGAGGAAGGAGCUCAAGUCCAGAGAUGCACUUAAGACGUGACAAGGGCAGGCUGCUGCUCCACGCUGGGAAACCCGCCCUCCUCAUCUGCCUGCUGGGAGGAGCCGUGCCGCUGGGAGAAGGCCCCCCAGGGAGGUCUUCCCCAGGGCUGGCUCAGCGCCCGGCUGUGGGGGAGCCCACCCUGGUCCCAGCUCUCAGGGCGGUCACCGUCCGCCUGGAGACUCGGGGCUGGGCCCGCCCUCCCUCUGCAGGCUCCAGCAGGCAAGACACCCACACCCCACCCAGCGGCCUGGGACGGGCGUGCUUGGCAGUGGGCCGCCCCUACCCUGGGCUCAACCAGUAGACAAUAAACAUCUGAUUCAU
This is a long non-coding RNA of Cervus elaphus (red deer), 2818 nucleotides long. RefSeq lists it as uncharacterized. The record is from RefSeq and is a predicted model, not a curated record. The transcript is spliced from 3 exons. Lineage: Eukaryota; Metazoa; Chordata; Mammalia; Artiodactyla; Cervidae.